GUUUGAGCGCCCGGGGGAAGAUGGCGGUUGGCUCCCCUCCCCCGCCGCCCUGGCCUCGCAGCGUUCCCACCGAGUUCCCCUCGAGGCGGGCGUGCAGCCUCCCUAAUCAGUCAAAUGUGCAAGAAGGCUGGCACUGAAAGAACACAAAGUGACCAGUGACAUCAUUUUGGCUGGUUGAGCUUGGUUGCCUUGGAUGGGGCCGCCCUCCUGAACACGGGUCCCUGCCGCCCUCUGAGCUGGCCUGGAUGCCACGCGUUCUUCCGAUGACGAAAAUAUGAAUUUGAGAAAACUGAUCGCAGAUGUCAUCUGAAGACCCGCUGAGAUUCCUGUCACUGGACUGAUUUCAGCGUCACUGUUAGCAUCAGCCGGGGCUCCAUUCUGUUCCUCUGUGCCCAUUUCUGGUUGCCUGAUAACGAUGAAAUGUUUUCUUUGGUUGCGUUUUUACUCCUUAUUGUUAUGCAUAGAAAAUGAAAACUUCCGAAUU
Molecule: long non-coding RNA, 484 nt
Organism: Hyaena hyaena (striped hyena)
Lineage: Eukaryota; Metazoa; Chordata; Mammalia; Carnivora; Hyaenidae
Exons: 4
Source: RefSeq, a predicted model, not a curated record